Halichondria panicea is the source of this 936-nucleotide long non-coding RNA. RefSeq lists it as uncharacterized. The transcript is spliced from 2 exons. The record is from RefSeq and is a predicted model, not a curated record. Lineage: Eukaryota; Metazoa; Porifera; Demospongiae; Suberitida; Halichondriidae.
AGCCUCGAUCCCAGGCCGAGUUUUCGCUUUUAUAACGGUUAGGCGAACAACUGGGCCUGGUACUAGUUGUCUGCGCAUGCGUCAGUCGUUUGUCAGAUUCUGACGAAUGGAUAUUCUCGUUCACUUUCGUGACAUUUAUAUUCGUGUACUAUCGUGUACUAGAAGUCAGUUCCCGUUUUAUCAUUAUUGGAAUAGAUUGGAAUGGCUCUUAGCUGAAGCUUCUCUCUUCUCUGAAGCUUAUUCUGAAGACUGAACAACAAGGGAAGAGGUAUAAAGCUUUGUCAAGCUUGUUAAGGUCAGAUAUUUUUGUGUGGGCCCUAUGGCCGGCUAUGCUAUCAAGUCUUGUUCAUGUUUGGCAAGAAUGUAGGUAGACUAUAGUUUCAUCAUUAAUAUGGUGAAUCAAGUGAAGAGUGUGAGCUAGAGAACUUGGUGCUGCCAUCAUCAGCUCGUCGACAAUGACACUAUAACCGAGAAAUUUAAUAUGUAUAGAUCUACACGUAUUUAAAAUGUCUACUUCUCUGUACAGGAGCAAUGGCUAAUAUCCAGCUAUCCCAACAGUGCUCCUCUUGGCUAUACUAACGGACGAGACUGGACAGUUUGAGACACAGGACUGGAGUAUGACCUGCUCAUUCGAGCGUUGCUGGGUAGCUCAGAGACAUCAAGAGAAUCUACGUUUUCUCAAGCAAUGAGUUACGAGUUGGGGCCUAGAAUCAGAGAAGUCCAGCAGCCUGCUAAAUCUUUUUGAAACGUAAUUUGAAGGCAUUCAAUCAUCCUGAAGUUGCCCUGGGUCACUGUAAUUGUGCUGCAGCACAACUGGCAACUCCCCAGGCCUUUGUGAAGCAGCUCCCUAUGUGCAUCUUUUGUGUACUCACUCUGUGCAUUUUCUGUGUACAAAUUUCCAUUAUUGAUUUAUUAAAUAUUUUUGCCGACCACAAA